AAUAAGCUCCAUUAAAAGUGCAACAGAUGCCAUCGUCAGUUGGACGGAUGGAUAAAUAAUCGUUGCAUUUAUCAGGGACCCCUUGCCAGAUGCAAUCCAAGACGAAAUCACGACAGUUUGGAGCAGUCUGUAACUCAAACAAUUCGAUCGCUGUUAUGUUUUCCGAUUUGUAGAAGUCACUCAAUUGUUCGAGAUCGUGCUCGUGUUUGAUUGCACGGUCCAGUUUCGUCAUGUACCUUAACGUCUUGUGAAUGGUGCUGUAAGAAACGUUGUUGUACCUUACAAGAAAAGAAAAGAAUUUGGGACGUUUCUUUGAUAUGACAGUGACAGCGGGAAAUGGAUUGUCGUUCAGUGGGAACCGAGGCGAAUCCAACGACGUGAAAACAGGUGAGCUCUCGUACUUGAGCCACAUUUUCCAACAGAAAAACGAUGAGAACAAGAUACCAACCAAACAGACGAGAAGCCACAUGAUUCUAUUUGUGCAAAAGGAUUCGAGUCGUUUGGUAAAUUGAAUCAACAUCCGGUGUAUAGGAGAUGUCCAAGUAAAAUACUAACCGUUCAAACCAAGACACUCCGUCUUGCGUGAUAAGCUUGAGUCCGGGAAUCGACGAAUUGUUGGAGAAGUGUUUGAAAAAACGUCCGCUAAUACGGUAACGUGCUUUACUACGAGUGUCCGAUUCAUCCGGGAAUUCCAUCAUCAUCAUCUUCUUCGGCUGGCUUGUGACUGUGAACUGAAAAUAUUUAAAAGCAGCGGACAUUUAAGGGUUACAGAUCUGUCGCCCUUUUGUGCCAUUUCUUUCUUGUGCAGUGUUUCUGACUCUUUCCUGUUUGUUUGUUUUUUUUUAUUUGUUUUUGUUUUCUAAACUACAGAUCCAUAAACAAGUUUUAAACGAGCCCUGGAAAAUUAGAAGAAAAAAAGUAGUACCAUCUGAGUCAGCAUGUCAGUGUCGUUAUUCCGCUGUAAGUAGAUUGCUUUUGGUUUAUAACCCUUGUUUGAAUAAUCUAUCUAGUAUAAUAUUCAUUUAGAUAGGUUUUUAGUUUUCUACGUUUCUGAACUUCAAAGAAUUUUGGUAAUUUCCCUUUUUCUUCCAGAAACUUGUGUUAGUUUUGUUCGGGUAACAGUUUCCAUAUUCGGUUCCCGGAAUAAUGUUUUUCUCGACCAUUAAAUAACAAGGUCAUUCGACUAA
Daphnia magna is the source of this 1187-nucleotide long non-coding RNA. RefSeq lists it as uncharacterized. The transcript has 3 exons. The record is from RefSeq and is a predicted model, not a curated record. Lineage: Eukaryota; Metazoa; Arthropoda; Branchiopoda; Diplostraca; Daphniidae.